Molecule: non-coding RNA, 7934 nt
Organism: Phalacrocorax carbo (great cormorant)
Lineage: Eukaryota; Metazoa; Chordata; Aves; Suliformes; Phalacrocoracidae
Source: RefSeq, a predicted model, not a curated record
GUCGAUGCUUUGGGUGACUCAAACUUAGUUUCUGACUCUGCCACAAGCUUUCCACUGAAGCUUUCACCCCUCUGCGUUGUACUCGUCCACACAGACUCUCCUGGUUGACACUGCUGGGGAGGGGGUCGACACUGCUGGGGAGGGGGUCGAUGCUGGAAGUUAAAUGCAUGUGGAUAUGAAGCAUUCAGAUGCUACAAGAGCCAGGAGGAGGCAUGUAAAUAACACGCACAGGUUCCAACAGUAUCACCUAAAGGCUCUUCAAGAAUGGGGUAAACAGCAUCUCCUAACUAGGCCAGGAUAAGCAAAUUCCAAAUGAUGGCUUUCAGGUGUGAGCAAGAUACAGUCUGUCCGAAUACAGGUUUUUACACCAUUGAUCACAUACCAGAUAUUCUCUUACAUACACCAUCUGCAAAAGGAUGACUGCACAAGACAGCCUUUUGGAAUGUUUUAUGCACCUUCUUACUCCACCCAAAGAUAGAUGUGCUAUUACAGCUGUCACUAUUUUCUUCAGUAUUUCUCAUACAACUCUCAAGGAACUCAAAACAUUUUUCAGGUUUCAAUGAACCAAGCCACUGGCCUUUCGUGUAACCCAUUUUGAUUGCAAAUGCAUAGCCGUAUCACACCUCCACGCGAGGAGCAGAGAAGGUGAGAGAGAGCAGGACCUCAGCACUGUGGCAGGCAACGGACAGGACCAUGCCAGGCGUUAGCUGGAUCAUCACAGGCAGCUCCAGACAUCAAAUGUGAUAAUGGCUUAACAGACAUUACUUCUUUUUGAAUCAAACCUUUACGAUUUUCUCUAUGUUAUCAUAAAGGGAUGGUAUCCAGCUAAAUAGUCUUUUUAUAUACAACCUAAUAGUGCCUUCUCAUAACACUGUGAUGCCCUGGUAUUCAUGACAAGCUUUAAAUCCUCUGCAAAGGGAGAAAAUUCAAUUAAAAAAAAAAGUCAGUUUUCAGACAGAAAGCUUAGAUACAAUACACUUUAAAAGAGCUAGGGAAGAAAAUAAGUUUUUUCUUUCUUUGGGCCUUCAGUCCCUCAGAAUUCAGAUGGCAGGUUCCUUCCCCUUCACUGUGGCUUGUGUCACAGGUUGCCUCUGUUAAGAUCAAAGACAUUUGGUUUCUAUUACCCUAUCUGAAAGAGAAGUCCACUGAUAAAGAAGUCUCCACCCUAAUGAUUAAACCCUAUUUGGAUUUAAAUACUGGGCAGAGCCCUUCAGCCUGCAGGCCAGGAUUAGAGGGUUCAUGACUCCAGUGCCUAUGUGCUAAUCUGGAUGCAGACCAUGUGUAGCCUGCCUGGGAAAUGUUAUGUCAUUUGGUUUUCACAGCCCUCUACCCUCGGCCCAGGGUAAUCUUUUUCUUCUAGUGGUGCUACCAGGAAAUAAAACAGAGAUGAAUCCAUCCUAAACAGCUACACAACAAUGAGAGCUAAAUAAGUGAGGAAAAAUUACAGAAUUAUUAUUUAGAAAUGGCUCAAAAUCAAUCAGUACCUAAAUGAUCUUUAAAACUGUGGUUUAAUUCUGAUUAGUUUAUGGAGGUCAAGGAGGGAGAACCAGAGAAACAAUUAAAUUUAAGGUUAAUCAGGAGAGGCAGAUUUUGUUGUUGGGUUUUUUUUUUGGUCUUAGGAACCAUUUUCAUUCUCUAAAUAGCAUUAAGGGUUUCACGCUGGUUGCAGUGACCAAAGAUUGAUAACUGUAUCCACAGGAGGCUCUUUUCAUUAUGGAAGCCAUAGAGGAGCAAAUAGUUUAGUGUGGAAGGUAUUUUGAAAUUAUACUCAGGAGCGUCCAGAGACAAAAGAUUUGUGAUUGCAGCUCUAGUUUCAGACCUUAAAAGGAACAUAUUUGCCUGACAGUUACUUUAGCUUUUUUUUUGCCUGGCAGUGUCUGUCUGAUAAAAGCUAUCACCAUUCCCCAUAAGCCUUGCCUUGUUAUAUCUACAUCUCUACUACAGCAUUACUACUGGCAAAUGUACUAGGGCAAGAGAGCUUUUUUUUGUUUGGUGAGAGAGAAAAAUAUUUUUAGAAAAAUACAUCCUGAGAGUGUAACAUGAGCACUCGGUUGUGUGGGUAAAUGCUCUGUGUUUCAUUUCCUUUUUUUUUUUUGUUUUUGUUUUAACAGUUGGGUGAGAUUUUGCCAUCCCUACUGAUGCUGAGUAGUAUUUUUCUUCCUGAUAUUCUGUGAAAAUGGAACAGAAAUACUGGAGCUAUUGACAGGCUGAUCCUGUACCCAAGAAAGGCAACGACAGUUGAGAGUUUCCAUAACCCAUGAUUAUAUCCUGAAAGCCAAGAUUCUGCCUGUUUUGGUUAUGCUGAGUGUUACAAGACAUCCUACUGAUGUCAGUGCAGGUCUCAUGGCAUACCUUGAUGUGAGCAAGACUGACAAAGGUGGCCAACAUAAACAGGCCACCCAUUCCACUCUUUUUGGUGAAUUAUCUUUCAGGAGAUUAUAUGAAGUAUUUGGUUUGGGAACAUGAUAUUAAAAAAGGGUUUGGUGUGGAAGGUUCUUUGCCCUCCCAUAUGAUUGACUGAGUAAAGCAUCCUCAUCCUAUUAUUAUUAUCUUGGCUCCAGCAAGGGAUGCUGCAGGUAAAUAUGCCAAGCUUUAAAGUGAAUGGACAGUUUCUUUCUCUGUUCUUACUGGAGUGCUUACACAGACAGUCCCUCCUUCCACUCCUGUGGGAGAAGCCAGCUUGGGUCUGUGCCCAUGUGCAUGAGAACAUUCACUCGAUUAUUUCUUUUUUUUCAAGGGUUAGUUGGAUUUACUUGGUAAGAACUCUGCUUGAGCAGAGAAAGCUAACACAGGAAAAUUAGGGGAAGUACUGCUUCAAAUUCUGCCUACUUGUGAGUUUUCAGUUUUCUCCUUUCCAAGAGGAAUGGACCAUUUCUGGUCCAGGCUCUUCAUAACCAGCCUUACUGACAUGCCCAUGUUUUUUAAGGCCUAACAUUUUUGGACAAGAAGAAAGAGAUUUAGUCGUCUUUAAACAUACUAAUUAACCACAAAGGAUGUAUGAACCAGCUGAUGAUGUCACAUCACCAUAUUAGAGAAGAAUUUAUUAAUCCUAAGGGAGCCCUCAGGCAUACUAUGGUAUGAAUUUGGCACAUAAAGGCAAGUCAAUCUUUAGGGCACAGCGAUGUUCUCUGCUUGCUCAGCUCGGCUCUUCAGCCUUUCCUGAGCAUUUUCUCCCAGGAGGUCAUGCUUACCCCACUGCUAAGACUUGAGGUUACAGCGCUAAAUGAAUUUUCCCUUUACAUAGAUAAUUUAUAUCUCAAAGUACUUUAAUGGUGCUAUGGAAAGCAAUUCAAAAGCUGGAAGACAUGCAGCAAGUUCAUAACAUUAAUCAUAUUAAAUCCAGGUGAUCAAAACCACUAAUCUAACCAUAAAGCAUAAACAGCUAAAAAAAUCAAUUGAGAAACCUAAGGAAAAGUAGUUAAUGUUCUGUUUUAGAGACUCAAAAUGGCAGUACUGAGUAGCUAUAGUAAUUUUAGUUAUAGUAAGCUCUUUGUGAAGAGAAUCCCACUUGUUUUAGAGUCUCCAGAUAGUCACUUGUUGACACACAAUCACAGUUUCAGACCUGUUCUGAUAAUUCAGCAACUUUAAUGUAAAGCAUUAGCAGAGUGUUCAGAAGCUGUAAGGGGAGCCAUGCUUAAAGCCAUGUGACAGGGGACUGGGAGUUUGUGUCCCUGGUGACGUAGCCCUCCGGCUCUGUCAGCAGGCAGGACUAGAUCUCAACAUGCACAAUAUUCUCAAUUCUGUGGUUUUGCCUCUCUAAUGAGUCCAAUUUUUUAUUUAAGAUGUUAGUAAUGCCUUCAAAAAACCCUCCUGUAUUGUCUUUUCUUUUUUUAAAGGAAAUCUGUGCUCUCUUGCAGUUAUUUUCCUUCCUAUCUCAUCAUUACCUUUUGCACAAAUGCAUCAUGUAUUAAAAAGUUUAUUAGGGCAAAUGAUGCUGUCAUGAUAUUUAAUUGGUCAAAAUCCUGUUAAUAACAAAUGAGAGACUAACAGCAACUUACAGCAGAUUUGCCAAGUGGCAGAGAAAAUACGUAUUAUUUCCAUUUUAUUUUGGAGUGCUGCUAAAAAGCAUUUUCAACUUGACCCUAAAUUGAUGUAAACCACCAUGUCUGGGUCAGGGCAGAAGUCAGGGAGCAGCCGGGGGACAGCCCCAACCCUGCGCGUGGGACACCUGCCUGGGGAUGGGGACAGGCCAGACUGAGACAUCAGCCCGCAAGUGGUGGAGGCUUGGUGGCACACGGCCACAUGGCGGAAGGAGCUGCAGCUCAGGCAGGGCCAAAGCAAAAGCCUCAGCUGGAAGCAGCUCCUCCGGGCCAAGGUUGGGCACACGAUGCCUGGGAGGUCUCCCCAGGGUCACCGCGGGGAAGGGGCCACCCUUGGCCGUACAGGUUCUGAGCUGUCCCCAGCCCUGGCAGCCAAACCUCCGGGAAACCCCAGGGAUGCUCACACCUUACGGCAGAGCUUACCAUAAUGUUUUCCCAAGAAACUCCUUCACAAAGGCUGCAUAUUUUUUUUCUUUACUCUAUGGCUAGAGGACAACAGCAGAAAAAGAUUACAGUCAUAUGCACCCAUCAAUCUGGGGUGAGCACAAUUUUCCAGGCACCAUUGGCUCUACAGCCAUGUCUGUGCUAGUACAUUAAUCAUGCCUGGAGUGUUUUGCUGCAUCUCGGUCCAGCUGGCAAGAAACUGCCCAACUCCUUGCUAUGAAGGCCUAUUGCCCUCCAAAGCUGGCUGUCAGCAUCCCAUUGCCUGUUAGGAGCACCACCCGGCCACCACCUGCUCCUCAGCAUUGCUGAGGGAGUCGCAGGAAGACUGCAGCAGCCCCUGGCCAAAACUCUGUUAGCAAUUUAACAGAGCAGGCAGCUGAAGUUCAGCACCUGGAGAGACUCCCAGCCCUGGUGAAUUUGCUAGUGCAGAGCCCACGUGUUCCACGCGCAGUUUCCACUGGCUCGCAUGUGCAAGCCCAGAGCACUCCCCCCUGGCAGCAGGUGCCGAGGUCUCCAGCCAACCAGCCAAAACGCAAGGAAGAGUCAAAGGCAGCUUUGGUGGACGUGAUGAGAACUCACAAUCACCUAAGUAAACUGUGUUGACAGCAGUAAUGAUAUGGACAGAUUUAGGCUGUUGGGACUACGAUGAAUUGCUGAGAUGAAUCUUCCUGUAGCUACAUUUUUGCCUGGAAAUCCAGAAUUAAGAACCCUAGCUAACACACUUGCUGGACAUGCCUUACAUUUAAUGUAAUAAUUUAAAUGGAAUCCAACAUUUGCCUGAUUUGAUCAUCUUGUUUCAGCAAGAUGGAACAACAUACGUGUUUCUAGAUGAACCUAUGUUUCUGAAGGAUGCUUUCUGGGGAGUUCCCUGCAGUGUUGUGCUUCCCUCAUCAAUGUGCAAACCUGUUCUUAAAAAGGUGCACUGCCUCAGGACUAGCAGACAUUUUGUGUGCACCAGUCAUGCUCCCUCUUUAUUGAAGUAUUGAUUAUACUAUAUUAAUUUUCUGCAUUAAAUAAAAAGUCUUCUUGGGAUCAGAGUUCAAACUCUGACCAAAAAAACUUGGUUACUACAGGCAUGGUUCAGGAUUCUUCCUGAGUAGCAAUUUUGAUUCCUUGUAAUUGACCUUUUCACAAUGUAUCCUAGAUCUUGAGAGAGGGGUUGGCUUUACAGAAAACUUCCGUUAAUAUUUUUCUGAUUGCACUUCUCAGCCAUAUUUCCUCCCCCUUACUGUUAUAAUAAUAAUGAACUUCCCAUUAGUAUUGGAUUAGGUGACAGUCUUUGGUUGUGUUGGUACGACGAGUGUCGCUCAGGUGGCAGCCUCGUUGCUGCAGGCGCCAUGCAAACGCAGCAAGAGACAUUUCCUGCUCCCUACGAGGAGCAUGUGCCCCCAGGACACUGCAUGGCAAAACUGGGAGCAUUCUCAAAUGGGACCUGAGCAAUUUCUUUCACUACAUUUCAUUUGGUUGCUUCACUGGUUGCCUCAUUUUGCCUCUCAAACGGCACAUUCAGAAUAGUUCAGUGAAAGGUGUAAGAGUUGCAUGUCUGGAUCACUCAAACUUAGCUGGGAAAUGGACCUCAUGACUUAGUGAUGAAGCAGACCUUGGAGUGAACUAGAAAACUCCAGCAUGGAAAUGUAGUGAGGUUAAGCAUAAAGGAGCUCUGUUUGCAGAGCAGGAUAGCAGCAGACAAAAAUAAAGAAUCCUUAAAUUAUUUUCCUCGUCCCCACUUACCUCCUUGCAAAAGGAUGCUGUUUCUGGUAGCUAAAAGGCACGCAUCAUUCACGUGCCUGAGAGUUGCGUGUGGUUGCUAGGUGGCAAUAGAGUUUUUAGAUCGUUAUGUUACUAUCCCAGAGGGCUGCAAAAAAUCAGUGCACAAGAGCUGCUCAUUAACUGGUAGUCCAUGAAGUUUCAAAGAGUGUCUGUAAGAUGGAAGUCCUCUUCUCUUGAUCUUUCUCCAACUCAUGCUUCUGAAUUCUUAAAAAUACUUAGGAGGAGAUUUUAAGUGCUGUAAUCAAUGAAACUGCUUCGGGUCUUAUUUGACUUAUACAACCAGUUGCCCUAGAGUAUAUUCAGGAGAUGGAGAAUUAAUCAGCAGAGACAGCAGGUGUUAUGAGCCCCUAUUCUUUCUCUGGUACCUGCAGGGAUCAUGUAAAGCCCUACAGGAGUAUUUCAUACCAAGAUCCAAUGAAUGGUAGCAUCUAACAGAUGCUUCGUUCUCUGACAACCUUAGCUGAAGUAGACCAGAAGCAUCUGAUAUUUGUUUUUGAACAGAGGAUCAGAAAGUAGGAAGCUCAAAGAAUCCCACCCAGCUCAUAUGCCUGGUAGUUCUGAAUCAAGAACAAAGUGGAUCUUCUGAACACAUUUUGCAGGACACAUAUUAGCCCUCACCUCAGUGUUAUCCUGUAAAAAAAAAACCUGAAAAUGAUCAAGUGGUGCAACUGUAGCCACAUCUGGCCCACACAACACAUUAUCAAAAUCCAACAUGAAUGAUGAGUCUUCAGUGCAAUGAAGGCUAAUACUUAAGGGGACAAUCUUGCUCUAAACCAGUCAGGAAGUAGGUGGGUUUUCAGGGCAAAGGCCCCAUAUAUCCUACUAGAACUCUGUUAACUCAAACUUCCCUGUCCAACCCAAAGAUGUAUGUGCUUGAUGACAGUCAAUCUGAAUUUGGCUUUUAAAAUCAGGCUGAGGAAUGCAACUGCAUUUAAGGACUGAAAUCCUGUCCUUCAGAACAAAGCAGAGAUGUCUGGUAAAAUCCCAAGAUGCUGUAAGAAAUAAUUAGGUGGCAGCAGAAUAAUCAGAUCAGCUCUGUGGCUGACAAAGUGUGAAAAAUGGGAGAAAGGUUAGGAUCUGUGGUCUGACUGAUUUCUGAAGUAAACUACAUCAGCAGCUCAUAUUACAUGCAAUGUACCUACAAUAUUAGGUUUCAUACAGUUCCCUAAUACCAAAAAUACAAUUUUCAGGAGUGAUUAUACAUUUGGGAAUACAUAUGGGGAAAAUAAGACUAUUAUUGUGCAAAAACCAAAGCCCCAGCCUUUAUUUUUCACAAUACAUUUCAAGUACAUGCAGAACGUAUUUACAUUUCUCUUUAAGGCAAACAGAAACCGGGUUCUUAUUCCUGAGUUGCUUAGCACCAGUAGAAAUAGCAAAUAAAAACUUAGGAAAUGUUGUCUCUCCCUUUGAAGCUACAGCUGCCUCCCAUGCAAAAUAUUUCUGCUUUCACCUUGCAUUUCUUUUAAUGAGCUAUUUACACUAAUAAUCUCUUUUGGUGUUCGGAGCCAUUUCUGCAGGUUGCAAUCUCUUAGUAGAAACAUCUUGCCAAGAUGUGACAAACCUUCCAUGUUUGUUAUUUUACCUUACAGACUUUGCUGACUAGACAGCACUUCAGUCUUUGCUGGCACAUGCAUCAAGGUCUUCUCUUCAGUUAAGAGUUCUGUAUUCCCCAAUAUUUAG